CUACUGGUUUCGGAGCGCAGCACAAGUCGCACUCUCUAUCAGCAAAGGUCUAGCAUCCAU
Molecule: ribosomal RNA, 60 nt
Filed under: Alternaria brassicae
Lineage: Eukaryota; Fungi; Ascomycota; Dothideomycetes; Pleosporales; Pleosporaceae
Also listed under: 1 other name
Description: 5.8S ribosomal RNA
Source: RNAcentral